AAGUCGUAACAAGGUUUCCGUAGGUGAACCUGCGGAAGGAUCAUUAACACGUAUCCACGUAUCCACCCAAAGCGAAUCCGUUUUCAUUCUCCCUCUAGAUCAGUGAAGGAAUCGAGUCGACAGCGAAGUACGAGUGGGGCCCUAGCCGGCCUAUUUGCUGUUCACCAACUGAGGUUUCGGCCUCGACGAUUGUAUCACUGUGGAGGCUAAUUUCUUUACUACUUGGGUUUCCAACUCUGCCGUGGUAGUAAGGAUAACUUUAAUAACUUAUCUCACCCCUUUUUGCUAGUUGACUUUUAUAUGUUGUUACUUGCGCUUUGCGCAUGGAGCACACGUUUAAUUAUUUGAACGUUAAAAAUACAACUCUUAGCAAUGGAUAUCUUGGUUCUC
This 390-nucleotide unclassified non-coding RNA is filed under the name fungal sp. RNAcentral's name for it is "partial internal transcribed spacer region". The stretch from base 1 to 46 matches the Rfam family "Eukaryotic small subunit ribosomal RNA", at positions 1786 to 1831 of the family's 1831-position model. The record is from RNAcentral. Lineage: Eukaryota; Fungi.